Molecule: ribosomal RNA, 1987 nt
Filed under: human gut metagenome
Description: bacterial LSU rRNA
Rfam family: Bacterial large subunit ribosomal RNA
Source: RNAcentral
GAAAGUAGGAAAGGGCGCAUGGCGGAUGCCUUGGCUCUCGGAGGCGAUGAAGGACGUGAUAAGCUGCGAUAAGUCACGGGGAGGUGCAAAUAACCUUUGAUCCGUGAAUCUCCGAAUGGGACAACCCGAUAUCCUGAAGGGAUAUCACCUUACAUAGUAAGGAGCUAACGCAGGGAACUGAAACAUCUUAGUACCUGCAGGAAAAGAAAAUAACAAUGAUUCCCCCAGUAGUGGCGAGCGAACGGGGAAGAGCCCAAACCACACAUGUUACGGCAUGUGUGGGGUUGUAGGACCACGGCGUUGCAAGAAAUCUUGUGAGAAGAACAGCCUGGAAAGACUGACCAUAGACGGUGACAGUCCGGUAUUCGAAGCAAGACGAAGCAUAGUGGUAUCCUGAGUAGCGCGGAACACGAGGAAUUCUGCGUGAAUCUGCCGGGACCAUCCGGUAAGGCUAAAUACUCCCGAGAGACCGAUAGCGAACCAGUACCGUGAGGGAAAGGUGAAAAGCACUUCGAACAGAAGAGUGAAAUAGUUCCUGAAACCGUGCGCCUACAAGCGGUCGGAGCUCGUUAAUGAGUGACGGCGUGCCUUUUGCAUAAUGAACCUACGAGUUGCCUUUGCCGGCAAGGUUAAGUGUGACGACACACGUAUCCGAAGCGAAAGCGAGUCUGAACAGGGCGUAUAGUCGGCAGUGGCAGACGCGAAACCAAGUGAUCUACCCUUGGCCAGGUUGAAGGCUGGGUAACACCAGCUGGAGGACCGCACCAAUAAGCGUUGAAAAGCUUCUGGAUGAGCUGAGGGUAGGGGUGAAAGGCUAAUCAAACUUGGAGAUAGCUCGUACUCCCCGAAAUGCAUUUAGGUGCAGCCUCGCGGGUUACUGAUGUGAGGUAGAGCGACUGAUUGGAUGCGAGGGCUUCACCGCCUAUCAAGUCCUGACAAACUCCGAAUGCGCAUCAGUUUUACCGCGGGAGUGAGGGCAUGGGUGCUAAGGUCCGUGCCCGAGAGGAGAAGAAUCCGGACUAUCAGCUAAGGCCCCGAAAUGACAGCUAAGUUAAACUAACGAAGUCUGAUUGCUAAGACAGCUAGGAUGUUGGCUUGGAAGCAGCCAUUCAUUUAAAGAGUGCGUAACAGCUCACUAGUCGAGGAGUCGGGCGUGGAUAAUAAUCGGGUAUCAAGUUGUCUACCGAAGCAGUGGGAUCAUUUAUAUGAUCGGUAGGGGAGCAUUCCAGUCAGCGUCGAAGGCGUACCGUGAGGUAUUCUGGAGCGUCUGGAAAAGCAAAUGUAGGUAUAAGUAACGAUAAAGGGGGCGGGAAACCCCCUCGCCGAAAGACUAAGGUUUCCUGAUCAACGCUAAUCGGAUCAGGGUCAGUCGGGUCCUAAGGCUCAGCCGAACGGCGAUGCCGAUGGCAGAAACGGUUAAUAUUCCGUUACUACCUUCAGGAGUGACGUGGAGACGCAGUAGUGACAGUGCCGCCAUCUGACGGAAUAGAUGGUUGAAGGGUGUAGGAGUCGAUCAUGGCAGGCAAAUCCACCAUGAGAUCCGAACCUGAGAGUAUGCCGCGUCCUUCGGGACAAGGCAAUAGUGCGCGUAAGCAUGCUGCCGAGAAAAUCCGCUAAACUUAAUCCUGCAGGUACCCGUACCGCAAACGGACACACGUAGUCGGGAUGAAUAUUCUAAGGCGCUUGAGUGAUUCACGGUUAAGGAACUAGGCAAACUGACCCUGUAACUUCGGGAUAAAGGGUCCCUACCCUUUUAUGGGAGGGCGCAGAGAAUCGGUCCAGGCAACUGUUUAACAAAAACACAGGGCUGUGCCAAAUCGAAAGAUCCAGUAUACAGCCUGACACCUGCCCGGUGCUGGAAGGUUAAGAGGAGAUGUCAUCGAUAAGAGAAGCGUUGAAUUGAAGCCCCAGUAAACGGCGGCCGUAACUAUAACGGUCCUAAGGUAGCGAAAUUCCUUGUCGGGUAAGUUCCGACCUGCACGAAUGG